GAACGGUCCUUCGGGACAGUGGCAGACGGGUGAGUAACGCGUGGGAAUCUACCUAGCUCUACGGAAUAGCUUCGGGAAACUGGAAUUAAUACCGUAUACGCCCUCCGGGGGAAAGAUUUAUCGGAGUUAGAUGAGCCCGCGUUAGAUUAGCUAGUUGGUGGGGUAAUGGCCUACCAAGGCGACGAUCUAUAGCUGGUCUGAGAGGAUGAUCAGCCACACUGGGACUGAGACACGGCCCAGACUCCUACGGGAGGCAGCAGUGGGGAAUAUUGGACAAUGGGCGAAAGCCUGAUCCAGCCAUGCCGCGUGUGUGAUGAAGGCCUUAGGGUUGUAAAGCACUUUCAACGGGGAAGAUAAUGACGGUACCCGUAGAAGAAGCCCCGGCUAACUUCGUGCCAGCAGCCGCGGUAAUACGAAGGGGGCUAGCGUUGUUCGGAAUUACUGGGCGUAAAGCGCGCGUAGGCGGAUUGAUCAGUUAGGGGUGAAAUCCCAAGGCUCAACCUUGGAACUGCCUCUAAUACUGUCAGUCUAGAGUUCUAGAGAGGUGAGUGGAAUUCCGAGUGUAGAGGUGAAAUUCGUAGAUAUUCGGAGGAACACCAGUGGCGAAGGCGGCUCACUGGCUAGAUACUGACGCUGAGGUGCGAA
This 645-nucleotide ribosomal RNA is filed under the name Nitratireductor basaltis. RNAcentral describes it as "bacterial SSU rRNA". It matches the Rfam family "Bacterial small subunit ribosomal RNA", at positions 64 to 757 of the family's 1533-position model. Lineage: Bacteria; Pseudomonadati; Pseudomonadota; Alphaproteobacteria; Hyphomicrobiales; Phyllobacteriaceae. The record is from RNAcentral.